Grammomys surdaster is the source of this 1475-nucleotide long non-coding RNA. RefSeq lists it as uncharacterized. The record is from RefSeq and is a predicted model, not a curated record. NCBI's taxonomy places the organism in Eukaryota, Metazoa, Chordata, Mammalia, Rodentia, Muridae. The transcript is spliced from 4 exons.
GAAAGCCACUUGGCUUAUCUCAUGGCUAGCCAUGGAGGAUGGAAUUUUUUUCUCCUCCCCUCCACUUCCACACUGCUGAGCUACAGAUGACGCUUCCAACAGAUGGACCGUUGGUGCUCAACCCACACGUAAACCAUAGCAGACAAGAUGAUCCCACCCAAGAGGACAUGAACUGGAGCAUGUUAUGUCAAUGAUCUCUGCUUUUCCAGCAUCACUGUGAGCUUCAUUAAAUUGUCCCACUGCCUGGAGGUCACCAUUGGAUAGACUUUUGAUGCCUGACAAGGGUAUGCACUGGCCUUGUGUUGACUCUGAAGUUGAUGCCACUAGAUGAUGCUUAGAACUGAGCUCACAAUGAUCGGAAAGAAUACCAUCAAGCAAGUGAAUUGGGAUGAAUACUGGGUGAGAACAUGUCUUCUGGUGCGUGUGUAAAGUGUUGAAGUCAGUAUGGAAACCCUGUGGAGUUCUCAAAAACCUGAAGUCAGAACUGCCACUUGAAUCAGCUGUACCACUCUUGGGCAUAUAUGCAGCAGAGGCAUAUGUGUGCAUCCACGCUCAGACCUGCUCCAGUCACAGUAUGCGGGAUGGAAGCAGCCUCGAUGCCUGUCCAUUGACGGCUGAUUGCACAUGGGAGACGCAGUUCGAAUAAACAGCAUUGUUCACCUGUGAAGAAAAUUUGAAAGAAAUGGAUGGAUCUUGAGAUUACUAUAUUAAGUGAUGCAACCCAGACAAGGAACAGGAAAUUACACAUGUUCUUUCUCACAUGCAGAGCCUACCCUCCAGUCCUCGUCUACGUACGUUAGUGCAGGUGUGAGUCAGGGUGUUUGUAGGUCACAACAAUGCUUUACUUUUGUUCCUGCAUUCAGAUCUCUCCCCUUAAGAACUGAAUAUAAGUCCUUGUGCUAUACUAGACUAGAUCCAGCUCAGUGAUGUGUGAUACGUAAUGUGCUGCACACCAAUACCUUACUGUCCACUCUCCUCACUGUCCAGGGGUUCUUUCUUGUUCUUCUUCUCUUUCUCUCCAUCUCCUUUCCCCCUUUCUCUCAUACGCACACACAUUUAGCCUCAUCCUUUCCAUUAAGGCGUUUAGCUGAGGAAUGAUUUUUCAACCUCCACUUAUAUAAUUUACUGUAAAGAUUACUUGAAGCCAUAGAUGUUGUCAGUAUCCAUAUUUUCCCAGUACCUUUAGCAUAUGAGCAGUAUGCUAUUCACCCCAGGUCAUCAGAAUCUAAUCUUAUUUUGAAGAAAAGAGAAAACAAAACCAACGGCUGCUACAAGUUAACAUUUAGAGUUAACUAAGAGUUGUGACAUCCUCUCCUGGACUCUGCUGGUACUGGCUUUCAUACAGGCACAUGACUGCACAUGGAUAUACACGUGUGCAUAUUAUUAAAAGGAAAAUAAGUCUUUAAAGAGAUGUGGUUAACAGUCACAGUAUGAUUCCUUAAAAAUUAAAACCAUAUAUUAGUUAAAAAUUUUAA